CCCUUUUUGCGCAUCUAACUCACUCCGAGUUCAGUCAAACACUUUCAAAACACCCUAAACACUAUGCCGAAGCUACUAAUUAAGCUCGGAAGCAAACUAAUUUCAUUUUGGCAUGAUUUUGAUCAAUUUGAUCAAGAUUAGGCCAUAGUCGAAAAUUCAACAUAUUACAAAAUCCGUUAGUGCCAUUGGUUCCAGGAUAGCCGAACCAUUAAAAACGAACUAUUGGAUCGCUAUGAACGGAGUCCGAUACGCGCCGGAAGCCAUAUCUACACCUUGGCCUCUCCGAAAAUUCAGGUUACUAUUCACUUUAAGUGAAAAGUAAGAGUCGUGUAACUUUUCCAUUCAAACUCGUUUUCUCCCGAAACUUGAUGAGUGCUUUUGUAAUUAAAAUACACACAAAAGUAUCGUCAACGGAGAGUUUAGUUAUACUGCCAAAAUCUCAGUCUUUACAUUUAUAUUCUAAAAAAAAUAUAUAUGUCGAUCUGUUUGGCUUCUAGAGCAUCCAUCUAACAUUUUUCUUUACCUCUUUUUUGCUCUUUUCUCCUUUUUCUAUCUCCGACAUCCCUGGCGCAUGUUUUCUCUUCUCCUUUUAUCUAUUUCUUAUAUUUUCGACAUCAUCUUUCACUUUUCUUCUCUUUUCUUUACAAUGAGAUGGACAGAUCUGAUCACUUUAUGAUGAGAGGGAUAAAUAUGAACAU
Molecule: long non-coding RNA, 698 nt
Filed under: Ananas comosus (pineapple)
Lineage: Eukaryota; Viridiplantae; Streptophyta; Magnoliopsida; Poales; Bromeliaceae
Description: long non-coding RNA (ACOM_LNC009130)
Source: RNAcentral